This is an RNA transcript of Mus musculus (house mouse), 2343 nucleotides long. It is a transcript of the gene named predicted gene, 29801, with no coding region annotated. The transcript has a single exon. Lineage: Eukaryota; Metazoa; Chordata; Mammalia; Rodentia; Muridae. The record is from RefSeq and is marked validated.
AAGAGAAGGUAUGAAGGAAAUAAAAAUUCCCUCAUCCUGGGAAGGAGACUUGAACUUACUUCAGACAAGUCAGUUUUCCUUACCCCAACCUAGAAUGUGAAUUAAACACUUGACCAGAAAGGAAGUCUCUCGUGUAUUAUACAAUAAAGAUAAAGAUCAGGCUUGAGUUCCUUCACCAAACUCUGCCUGGCUCAUAUUUUGGGGCCAAAGGUAAAGCGAUAAGGGAAAAAUUGUGAUGUUCUCAAUUUAAUUAUGAAAGUCAAGGGCUGGAAUGAAAAAGAAGUAAAAGAAAUUAGUGACGGCAGAGAACCAUCAAAAAAGAUUCUUCACGGUUUGGGACCUUUCCAUCCCUUCACAGUGAGUCCUUGGAUGUUACUUCCUUGAGUUCUCAAGGUACCUGCAAGAAAAAUGAUAUGUCCAAGCCCUCCACAGAUGCUCAGCCCUCAGGGGUACUCUCAGGCCUUUUCUUACCCAAAACACCAUGUAAGUCAGCCUUUCCCUCUUCCCCGACCUCUCUGAAUGGCAAGACUCCCUGUGAGCGUGAAGGAGCACAGAUUACUGUCCUGUUCCUGUCCCUGGCUGAGUGUGAAGCACUGGAACGCCACCUCCUAAAGAAACAACUCAGCAAGCUUCAGUGGGGCCUGCCAGCUCUCCUCCUCCAAAACCAGCGCUGAAUGCUGUGUGAAGCACCCAGUGAGGCUAAGACAGUAAAAACUUCCUUGGCAAGGAAGCCCUUUUUACAUCCCACCAGGGACAUCUUCCCAGAGCACGCAGGAAGGCUGCUGGAAUUCCACCUGCAGAAGCAGCUGAUUCACCUCCGCUGGGGGCUGCCCCAGAGGAUCCAGCGCUCCAUGAAUAUGCUGCUCUCCUCAACAGACCCACAGUCCCUGCCCUGUGGCAGCAGUAGCUUACCCAAUGUGAGCAUCUCACAGCCCGGGAAACCAGAGGCCAAUGGGCCUGGUGACAUGUUCUCACUCACAGCGGGCAAAGGGACAAUCCCCAUGCCACACUUGUUUGCCAAGACAAGGGAAAUGUUGAAAAGCCAUGUUGAUUCCAAAUGUGAACAGAUCCGGGAGGGCGAGGUCCCGGCCCAAGUCUGGAAAUCUUGGGAAUGCAAAAUUCCUGGAAGCUUAGCAACAGUGGCUCCCUUCCCUUGGAUUCCACAAGGCCAAUGCAGGAAGUUACAGGCAGAAAGUAAAAGUGACCAGGAGACACAAACCUUAUCUGGUACUCUCUUUGAACACUGUAAGAAGCCCCAAUCCCUGCCUAAGGAAACCAUUAAGAAACUGGAGACAACUUUACAUCAUAAGUAUCUGGCCUUCCUGUCAGGCCUGCCUGCCCUUUACUGUGUAGCUCUCUCUAGGCCUGCAUCCCCAGCAGUCACUAGCCAACCUAGACUCAGAGAGAAGAUGCCCAAAGCUGUCAAAAGCCCAUCAAAUGCUCUGACUCAAAUAACCCCACUUGAGCCCUGCGCUCACGAUGACAGUGGGGUGUCUGCGGACACUGCAGAAGAGUUCCAGCCUGGAGCAGAGGCGGACAGAAGGACAGAGAAGGUGCCUGCAGAGAGUCAGCCUCCCCCAUGCAGACCCUACCCAAUAAACACACAUAUCUUGGCCAAACUGAAUUUCCACCUGAAAAAAAAGAUCCUAGCAAUGCAGUUUGGGAUUUCUGAAAAGGAAAAGAGAGAAUACAAGGAGCUGGGUACAGCCGACCUAGAGAGCGAAUCCAUCCAGGAAUUUCUCAGAAGUCUACACAUGUCAGAGAGCACACUGCUUCAGGAACAGCCUGUCGCAUGCCCAUCUCUGCCAGCCCCAAAUGCAAAAGGGGUCCACCCUAAAAAACAGCCAGCUUCUGCAGUACAGGAUGUGUGUCAGGCGCAAAGGCCUCCUCCUUCCAAAGCAGUGCCCCAUAGUUCUGCCCAGCAGAGCUCCAAGGCCUCGCAAUCCCAAAGGGAUAAGACCCAAGUCUGUGUUGACAUGGAAGCUGGAGGGAAAAGGUUCAACGUAGAGAAAUCCAAAGUCGUGGGGGACCUUGGAGAAGGGGACGCAGGUCUUGGGUUUUCCCUGGUCGGUCAAAAGACACGCCAGGAUGGAGAGCAGGAGAAGAGGCUCCUGCACAGACCACUCCAGGGCUCCUCACAACAGGGUCACACCUUUCAUCUUGAGGAUGCCUGUCCACACAGUCCCCGGGAGUCCCCUGAGCUCCAGUUCCCAGACCCACCUCCAGAAGUCUUCAUGGAGACAGACUCUGAGCAGGACAUGGAAGACAGUCAAAGCGAGGAAUCCAUUGUCCCAGAACCUGAAAUUCUUUUUUCACUCUAUUAACCCCAAGAUGAAGAGCAAA